AAUUUUGGAGGAGGCAGCAGGGGGUAAUCUAGCACAGGGGGGGGCAGCAUGAAGCAACCAGGGUGGAAGAGUGAUGAAGUUCGGAAGGUAAAAAUUUUUUUUAAUAGAGGAAGAUAAUGACGGUACCCUAAGAAGAAGCCCCGGCUAACUUCGUGCCAGCAGCCGCGGUAAUACGAAGGGGGCAAGCGUUUUUCGGAUUUACUGGGCGUAAAGCGCGCGUAGGCGGUUUUUUAAGUCAGGGGUGAAAUCCCGGGGCUCAACCUGGGAACUGCCUUUGAUACUGGAAGUCUGGAGUAUGGCAGAGGUGAGUGGAAUUCCGGGUGUAGCGGUGAAAUUCGUAGAUAUUCGGAGGAACACCAGUGGCGAAGGCGGCUCCCUGGGCCAUUACUGACGCUGAGGCAAGAAAGCGUGGGGAGCAAACAGGAUUAGAUACCCUGGUAGUCCACGCCGUAAACGAUUAAUUUAGUCGUUGGGGAUUUUACUUUUCAGUGGCGCAGCUAACGCAUAAGUAUCCGCCUGGG
RNAcentral lists this ribosomal RNA (521 nucleotides) under uncultured Alphaproteobacteria bacterium. RNAcentral's name for it is "partial 16S ribosomal RNA". It matches the Rfam family "Bacterial small subunit ribosomal RNA", at positions 335 to 877 of the family's 1533-position model. Lineage: Bacteria; Pseudomonadati; Pseudomonadota; Alphaproteobacteria. The record is from RNAcentral.